This 466-nucleotide ribosomal RNA is filed under the name uncultured ammonia-oxidizing beta proteobacterium. Its description in RNAcentral is "bacterial SSU rRNA". It matches the Rfam family "Bacterial small subunit ribosomal RNA", at positions 198 to 645 of the family's 1533-position model. Lineage: Bacteria; Pseudomonadati; Pseudomonadota; Betaproteobacteria. The record is from RNAcentral.
GGAGGAAAGUAGGGGAUCGUAAGACCUUGCGCUUUUGGAGUGGCCGAUGCCUGAUUAGCUAGUUGGUGGGGUAAGAGCCUACCAAGGCGACGAUCAGUAGUUGGUCUGAGAGGACGACCAGCCACACUGGGACUGAGACACGGCCCAGACUCCUACGGGAGGCAGCAGUGGGGAAUUUUGGACAAUGGGCGAAAGCCUGAUCCAGCAAUGCCGCGUGAGUGAAGAAGGCCUUCGGGUUGUAAAGCUCUUUCAGUCGAGAAGAAAAGGUUGCGACUAAUAAUCGCAACUUAUGACGGUAUCGACAGAAGAAGCACCGGCUAACUACGUGCCAGCAGCCGCGGUAAUACGUAGGGUGCGAGCGUUAAUCGGAAUUACUGGGCGUAAAGGGUGCGCAGGCGGCUCUGUAAGUCAGAUGUGAAAUCCCCGGGCUUAACCUGGGAAUUGCGUUUGAAACUACAAGGCUAGA